RNAcentral lists this long non-coding RNA (5051 nucleotides) under Sus scrofa (pig). RNAcentral's name for it is "lncRNA (ENSSSCG00000062526.1)". The record is from RNAcentral. Lineage: Eukaryota; Metazoa; Chordata; Mammalia; Artiodactyla; Suidae.
CUUUUUUUUUAAUUUAAGUAUAGUUGAUUUACAAUGUUAUAUUAGUUUCAGAUGUACAGUAUAGUGAUUCAAUAUUUUCAAAUCUUUUUUAAUGUAUUUGUAGUAUAGAAUCUAUGUGAAGAAAAUUUUAAAACUCCACUGCAGAGCACAAAGAAUUGGAAUCAACUUAAAGGUGUAUCUAUUUGUUCAAUGGAACGUGUCAGUAUCUUAAAAAUAUCAAUUGUCUCCACUAUCAGAAAUUAAAGCAUGAUAAAAUGACCAUAAUGAAAAUUAUUUGAUUCAGGCACUCAAAAGAAAGAUCAAUGUACAAAAAUACAGAAAUAUAGAGUAAAACAAUUCGAGGAUUUAGUAAAAAAUAGGAGCAACAUUACAUGUCCAAACAGAGAAUAUGGAUUAUUCAACAAAUUAUAUCAGAACAACAAAAAACCUGUCUGGGUUUUUUGAAUUUAGUCUCAUUCCCUAAAACAAAACUCAGUUCAAGAUGUAUUAAAGAUUUUAAUUUAAUAAAAAUAAAAGUAAAUACACAGGAAAGUUCAAAUUACCUUUUUUAAAAGUAUAAUCUUGAGUAGGAAUGGCUUUUCUAAUUAAGAUACAAAGCCCAGAUGUCAUAAAACAGUGGUUUGCAACCUCGGCUACACAUUAGAAUCACCCAAGGAACUUGUAAAAAGUUUCAAUCCUUAGACUCCACCCUGGACAAAAUCAAUCAGAAUCUCUGAAGAGAAGAGUCCAAGUCUCUGUUUCUGUUUUGUUUUUUGUUUGAUUGAUUUUUAAUGCUCUCUGGGUGAUUUCGAUACUGUUAGGCUUCAGAACAACUGCCACAAAAUAAAACCUUCAGAAUAUCUUGCCUAAUGCUCUGCAAACUAUCUCAGAUAUUCUUUGCCAAGAGGGGCCCAACCGCUAUUUUCACUUGGCAGCUGCCACACUGCGCCCCUUCCUCGCAGAGGCGGGCUGCCUUCUUGGCUUCACCCAGAAAUGGAAGGAAAGACCCUUUCCACAACUUAAAACAAUCUCAUAUACAUAUAGACUCUUAUAUCAAAACUUCAGAAUAACUGCAAACCAAAAAUCUACAAUUGAUACACAAACAAGGAAUCUCUGGAGAAGAAAUAUAUCUCACAGUAAAUAAGUGCAUAAUUCACCAUGAAGGGGGUCAUUUGACAUUCUUGGAAUGCUGAAGUCGUCUUAGAUCUGACUCUGAUCUCCUCUCCAUCAAGGAAUUUAUGAUAAUUAUAAUUAAAUAAUGCCACUGUACAAUUAAAUUAAAAAAAUAACAAUACCCAUAGGAUAUUGCAUAGGAACCAAGAUUCCUGGAACACUGCCUUAUUACCUCACCACCAACCAAUCAGAAGAAAGUCAUACACCCUGCAGCCCACUUCAAAUUUUGCCCAUAAAAACCUUUCCCUGAAAAUCAGUGGGAAAUUUGGAGGGUUGACUACAAGCCAUCCAUUCUCCUUGUUUGGUCCUGCAAAAAAACCUUUCUCUGCUCCAAACUGAUGUUUUCAUUUGUUUGACAUCAUUGUGCAUUGGGCACAGGGAUUUGUGUUCAGUGACAGUAUUAAGCUAUUUACAAAAUGUGUUUAUGUUUAUGCACAGCUAAGACAUGUUUCCUUUUUGGCCCCAACCACAACAUGUGGAAGUUCCUGGGCUAGAGAUCGAAUCUGUGCCAGAGCAGACUCAAACCACAGCAGUGACAACAUUGGAUCCUUAACCAACAGAGCCAAAAAGAAUUCCAAGUAGGACUUUUUUUGGCAAAUCUUACUGAAACCGGAACUAGACUAAAAGAGAAAUCUUAGAAGUUAAUUUAUAACUCACUAGCCAGUAAGAAAGGUAGAUGUAUUUUCUUUCUCAGGGAUCUGUAUUUGUUAUUUCAAAAGAGGAUGUGACCUGGGAAAAGAAUUCAUUCCCUGGCUUGUAAAGUUGGAGGCACAAGUCUUAGAUCUUCUCUGAAGGGAUUUAUUUGCUUUCUAAAGGGUGAGGACCCAGCAUCUUUCCUCUAAGAUUUUUAAAAAGACUGUCUUCUGAAGAGGAUAGGAGACUUUCAUACAUAAAUCCAAUAUUUUUUCACUUGGUCCCUUACCUGCAAUACAGACUCUAUUAUGUGUAGGAUGACAUCUGGUUUUCACUGUACCCCUGCAGUGGUGACAAAAAUUGGGACACAGAGGAAUCACACAGUUAUUAUUCACUUACAGUAAUAAGUAAAUUUGCUUAUUACUGUAAGUAAUAAUCUGCUCAGCCUCAGGAACUUUGUAUACAUAUUCAGGAUAAUAAUAAUAAUAAUAAUAGAUACUGAAAAGCUAACACUGAGUGUGAAUAACCGUCUCUACUUAAAAUUGGAUAUCAUGGUAUUGAAACACAACAUACUUGUUUCAGGAAGGGGGACUCUUCCUAAGGCCCAAGAAUGGACUCUUGUCUCACACUUAGACAUGAAUUGUCUGAGGAAACCCACAUACUUACAAAGCAAAAUACUUUAUUUGGAAGGGGCACCUGGAUAGAGAGCAGCAGGCUAAGGGAACCCAAGGGAACUUCUCCAUCAUGUGGUUCACAGUCUCAGUUUUAUGAGAAUGUGGUUAGUUUCUCUGGCCGAUCUGCUUACUGGCCCAUAUUUGAAAAGACUCGGGGUCCUUUUUGGUGGCACACGCAUCUCUCAGCCAAGGUGCAUUCCACCACAAGGAUUCCAGGAAGUCAGUUGGCUCCACCCUCCUACUGGUCCCUCCCAAUUCCUCCCAGUUAGUCUUCAGGGCAGCACAAUGUAUCCCUAUCUCCUGCCGUGAGACAGCUCAUGCAAGUGGCUAUUAUCAUGUCUGGCCAAGGUGGGCAGUUGCAGUCAAUGACCUCCUAACAUGGUUACUAGUUACAUUAUCAAUAUAUUAUAUAUACGUAAUAUAUGCAUGUGUGUGUGUGUGUGUGUAAGAUAAUGUAACUAGUGAAAUUUUAAGAUUAAAUGAAAAAGGACUUGUUAAAACUGUUAUUUUUUAAGAAUUAUAUAGAAAAAAGGAAAGAUGAUGAUAUUGAUGAUGGCAGAUAGCAAGUAGAAAUUAUUGGUAAAAUAUAAAUACCUUCAAAAGCCUGAUUUGGGUCCAAUAAAAUAUUUGAUGUUGGCUUACUUGUUACUCUUAUUCUUUCUUCAAAAUCCAAGUUCUUGAAGUUAGAUUAUUGCACCUGCUAAACUGCUAAAUUAUCAGAGUUCCCUGCUGGCUCAGGGGAUUGAGGAUCUGGUAUUGUCACUGCUGUGGCUCAGGUCACUGCUGUGGCAUGGGUUUGAUCCCUAGCAUGGGACCUUCCUCAUACUGUGUGAGUGGCCAUAAAUAAGUAAAUAAAUAUAAAAUUUAAAAUAAACUGCUAAAUUAUUGCCAAACUAAAGGAUUGCACAUGAUAAUCUAUAAAUGGCUCAGUGUAUUGUCUAUCAUAAUGUGACAUAUAGCUGCCAUAAGAAGAAAAAAAUCACAACUUUUUCCAAAUAAUAUUUGAAGAUAAGGCUAUUGUACAGAGAGUUGUGAGAAGUCAGUCCCAGAUGGCUGGUGUUCAAGAAAUGUAUCAUUUUGAAGGUAAGGAGAAGAUUGCUACCCUUCUGGUCCAGUCACUCCAAAGGAACUUGAUUAGAAAUGUUUCGGUUGGCAUUAUGAUGAUUUUAAUAGUGAAGAAGCUUUACGUUGACUAACAAAAUAAGAAAAUAGAUUUAAUUGCAACCGAGAAGAUGUUUACAUGUAGAAGGUAUGUGAAGAGGAAAAGCAAUAAUCCUAAAAAUCUGACAGGAAAAAUAAAGUUUUUUCCAUCAUAUAGACAUUUAAAAAAAAAAAAAAGUUUCAAUUCUUAGACUCCACCCUGGACAAAAUCAAUCAGAAUCUCUGAAGAGAAGAGUCCAAGUCUCUGUUUCUGUUUUGUUUUUUGUUUGAUUGAUUUUUAAUGCUCUCUGGGUGAUUUCGAUACUGUUAGGCUUCAGAACAACUGCCACGAAAUAAAACCUUCAGAAUAAUAUCUUGCCUAACGCUCUGCAAACUAUCUCAGAUAUUCUUUGCCAUUUUCACUUGGCAGCUGCCACACUGCGCCCCUUCCUCGCAGAGGCGGGCUGCCUUCUUGGCUUCACCCAGAAAUGGAAGGAAAGAUCCUUUCCACUCUCAGAAUGUUGAAAAUCUUUUGUGGUUCCAUCACAGUAGGGAUGCUGGCAGAAAAGAGGAAGUCAUGCUCAAAUUUGAGAAGAAUUUAAUAAACAGACUGUAUACAAAUGGAGUCAUUCAUCUCUUGAUUGCAAUGAUGAUUACAUGAAUCUACAGAUGUCAUAAAAUUGUAUAUGACUAUGCACAAAAAAAAAAAAAUGAGUGAAUGUGAAAACUGACAAAAUCUGAGUUGGGCCUAGAGUCUAGUCAAUAGUAUUGUACCAAUGUAAAUUUCUUUAUUUUGGUACUCUUCUGUACAUAAACUGUUGGCUUCAGGGGAAGCUGGAUGAAGGUACACAGAACCUCUCUGUACUAUUUUUGCAAGUUCUUAUGAGUCUUUAUUUCAAAAUAAAAAAUUUUAAAAAGAGAGCUACUAUAUAAGAAGAUGUGAGUAAAGAACAGGAAAAUCACACAAGGGCUGCUGUAGCAACAGCUGGUCCCAGUUCCUCCUCAUCAGGCUGAAAUAACAAGAGGAGUUACUAGAAGAGAGAGAGAAGGCAAGCGCAAGCGCGAACUGUAUGGAAAGGGCUAGCGGACAGGCACUGUGACCUUGCGACAACAGGUGCCAGGUGGGCCAAGAUGUGGAGUUUGUAGAAAUUGGAACCUGGAUCAUUGUCCAAGCUUGAGGAAAAUUAAUUUGGGGACCUGAGAGGCAUUGAAAAAUCUGGAACAGCCACUGGAAUGUAAUUUAGGAGGGAGGGAAAGAUUUUAUAGGAGUCUAUAUCUGAGAAAAGUAAAUAAUUACCAGACACAUUCGUUAGCAUAUUUUAAGCUGCAAUAAAUCCCAUCAGCAUUAUAUGAUUAUAUUAGUCAAGGCUCUUCAGAGAAAUAGAACCAAUAGGAAUUUUAUAUAUGCAUAUAACUGUUAUAAUGUAUAAUGUUUAUAACUGAUUUACAUAU